GAUUUCCUUGGCAGAUCAUAUACUGUAAUGGGAACUACACAGAGAUCAGCAUGGCCCCUGCCCAAGGAUGACAUGAAAAUUUGUGAAACCUUCCAUAAUUUU
This is a small nuclear RNA of Myodes glareolus (Bank vole), 102 nucleotides long. NCBI's taxonomy places the organism in Eukaryota, Metazoa, Chordata, Mammalia, Rodentia, Cricetidae. The record is from RefSeq and is a predicted model, not a curated record.